RNAcentral lists this ribosomal RNA (488 nucleotides) under uncultured Sphingobacteriales bacterium. Its description in RNAcentral is "bacterial SSU rRNA". It matches the Rfam family "Bacterial small subunit ribosomal RNA", at positions 894 to 1382 of the family's 1533-position model. The record is from RNAcentral. Lineage: Bacteria; Pseudomonadati; Bacteroidota; Sphingobacteriia; Sphingobacteriales.
CAGAAACUCAAAUGAAUUGACGGGGGCCCGCACAAGCGGAGGAGCAUGUGGUUUAAUUCGAUGAUACGCGAGGAACCUUACCUGGGCUCGAACGUAAGAUGACUGUAGGUGAAAGCUUACAUCUCUUCGGAGCAUUUUACGAGGUGCUGCAUGGUUGUCGUCAGCUCGUGCCGUGAGGUGUCGGGUUAAGUCCCAUAACGAGCGCAACCCCUACCUUUAGUUGCCAUCAGGUUAAGCUGGGGACUCUAAAGGAACUGCCUACGCAAGUAGUGAGGAAGGCGGGGAUGACGUCAAAUCAGCACGGCCCUUACGUCCAGGGCUACACACGUGCUACAAUGGCCGAUACAGAGGGCAGCUACCUGGUGACAGGAUGCAAAUCUCCAAAGUCGGUCUCAGUUCGGAUCGGAGUCUGCAACCCGACUCCGUGAAGUUGGAUUCGCUAGUAAUCGCGCAUCAGCCAUGGCGCGGUGAAUACGUUCCCGGGCCUU